RNAcentral lists this long non-coding RNA (620 nucleotides) under Gossypium barbadense (sea-island cotton). RNAcentral describes it as "long non-coding RNA (GBAR_LNC019291)". Lineage: Eukaryota; Viridiplantae; Streptophyta; Magnoliopsida; Malvales; Malvaceae. The record is from RNAcentral.
UGAGGCCUGGCUCAGAGAGAAAAAACAGCAGCAGGAUCAACUUCCCAAGUAUGCCACACCUGUUCUCUUGUCAGCUGAUGUGAGGAAGAAGGCUGAAGCACUUGACAGGUACACCACUAUUUCACCUGUAAAAGGUUUUGCUUCCAGCAUCCAAGUUCGAACGUUCAGUUUUUUAUUAUGCAUGUAUAUGGAUGUCAAUAUUAUGAUGAUACUAACAUAACUUUGACUUGGUUGUGAGUGUUUGAUAUAUGCAUGUGUUGGAGACGGGUAUGGUUAAAUUUCUUUGUAUUUGGAAAAAUCUUGAAGGUCGUAUCUUUAUAUGCCCUUGUGUCGGAUGUAUGUGUUAAGACGGGAGUAUUUUAAUAAAAAUGAAGUGUCGAACCAAAUACUUUUGCCAAGAUUUGAAUUCUGCCUUCAACAGGUUUUGCAGGCCAAUAAUGAUGAAACCUAAACCGGCUAAACCAGCCACACCUGAAGCACCGGAAACCCCACCACAUCCUGGAAGUGAGGCUCAACCACAGGGUGCAAACAGCCCGAAAGCAAGCCCUAACCGCAAUGGUGACCCCAGUGAAAAUGUGCCGGCAGGAAGUGGUGAGGCACCUCCAGCAUCCGCAGAACCA